AGAGUUUGAUCAUGGCUCAGGAUGAACGCUGGCGGCGUGCCUAAUACAUGCAAGUCGAACGAGGUGCUUUUGUAGCAAUACGAGAGUAUCCUAGUGGCGAACGGGUGAGUAACGCGUUGGUGACCUACCCCAAAGUGUGGGAUAACAGUCCGAAAGGAUUGCUAAUACCGCAUGUGGUCUUCGGAUUUAGAAACCGACGACUAAAGGAGCAAUUCGCUUUGGGAGGGACCUGCGUCCCAUCAGCUAGUUGGUGAGGUAAUGGCUCACCAAGGCGACGACGGGUAGGGGACCUGAGAGGGUGGCCCCCCACAAUGGAACUGAAACACGGUCCAUACACCUACGGGUGGCAGCAGUAGGGAAUAUUGCACAAUGGGCGAAAGCCUGAUGCAGCAACGCCGCGUGUGCGAUGAAGGUCUUCGGAUCGUAAAGCACUUUUCUGCGAGAUGAGAAAGGACAGUAUCGUAGGAAUAAGUCUCGGCUAACUACGUGCCAGCAGCCGCGGUAACACGUAGGAGGCGAGCGUUAUCCGGAUUCACUGGGCGUAAAGCGCGUGCAGGCGG
RNAcentral lists this ribosomal RNA (560 nucleotides) under uncultured soil bacterium. RNAcentral's name for it is "bacterial SSU rRNA". It matches the Rfam family "Bacterial small subunit ribosomal RNA", at positions 8 to 578 of the family's 1533-position model. The record is from RNAcentral.